UGCAAAGCAGCAUCGCGGUGGCGGAGCGUCGUUUGCGACGCCCAACACACAAAACAAACGGUGAGUGCUUUGGGGUGGGGUGACUGCGUACCUUUUGUAUAAUGGGUCAGCGACUUAUAUUCUGUAGCAAGGUUAACCGAAUAGGGGAGCCGGAGGGAAACCGAGUCUUAAUUGGGCGUUAAGUUGCAGGGUAUAGACCCGAAACCCGGUGAUCUAGCCAUGGGCAGGUUGAAGGUUGGGUAACACUAACUGGAGGACCGAACCGACUAAUGUUGAAAAAUUAGCGGAUGACCUGUGGCUGGGGGUGAAAGGCCAAUCAAACCGGGAGAUAGCUGGUUCUCCCCGAAAGCUAUUUAGGUAGCGCCUCGUGAAUUCAUCUCCGGGGGUAGAGCACUGUUUCGGCUAGGGGGCCAUCCCGGCUUACCAACCCGAUGCAAACUGCGAAUACCGGAGAAUGUUAUCACGGGAGACACACGGCGGGUGCUAACGUCCGUCGUGAAGAGGGAAACAACCCAGACCGCCAGCUAAGGUCCCAAAGUCAUGGUUAAGUGGGAAACGAUGUGGGAAGGCCCAGACAGCCAGGAUGUUGGCUUAGAAGCAGCCAUCAUUUAAAGAAAGCGUAAUAGCUCACUGGUCGAGUCGGCCUGCGCGGAAGAUGUAACGGGGCUAAACCAU
RNAcentral lists this ribosomal RNA (675 nucleotides) under Salmonella enterica. RNAcentral describes it as "partial 23S ribosomal RNA". It matches the Rfam family "Bacterial large subunit ribosomal RNA", at positions 566 to 1190 of the family's 2925-position model. The record is from RNAcentral. Lineage: Bacteria; Pseudomonadati; Pseudomonadota; Gammaproteobacteria; Enterobacterales; Enterobacteriaceae.